GAUGAACGCUGGCGGCGUGCCUAAUACAUGCAAGUCGAGCGAACGGACGAGAAGCUUGCUUCUCUGAUGUUAGCGGCGGACGGGUGAGUAACACGUGGAUAACCUACCUAUAAGACUGGGAUAACUUCGGGAAACCGGAGCUAAUACCGGAUGAUAUUUUGAACCGCAUGGUUCAAAAGUGAAAGACGGUCUUGCUGUCACUUCUAGAUGGAUCCGCGCUGCAUUAGCUAGUUGGCAAGGUAACGGCUUACCAAGGCAACGAUGCAUAGCCGACCUGAGAGGGUGAUCGGCCACACUGGAACUGAGACACGGUCCAGACUCCUACGGGAGGCAGCAGUAGGGAAUCUUCCGCAAUGGGCGAAAGCCUGACGGGGCAACGCCGCGUGAGUGAUGAAGGUCUUCGGAGCGUAAAACUCUGUUAUUAGGGAAGAACAUAUGUGUAAGUAACUGUGCACAGCUUGACGGUACCUAAUCAGAAAGCCACGGAUAACUACGUG
RNAcentral lists this ribosomal RNA (497 nucleotides) under uncultured bacterium. Its description in RNAcentral is "partial 16S ribosomal RNA". It matches the Rfam family "Bacterial small subunit ribosomal RNA", at positions 28 to 507 of the family's 1533-position model. The record is from RNAcentral.